UACGGAGGAUGCGAGCGUUAUCCGGAUUUAUUGGGUUUAAAGGGUGCGUAGGCGGAGUGCCAAGUCAGCGGUAAAAAUUCGGGGCUCAACCCCGUCGUGCCGUUGAAACUGGCGCCCUUGAGUGGGCGAGAAGUAUGCGGGAUGCGUGGUGUAGCGGUGAAAUGCAUAGAUAUCACGCAGAACCCCGAUUGCGAAGGCAGCAUACCGGCGCCCGACUGACGCUGAAGCACGAAAGCGUGGGUAUCGAACAGG
RNAcentral lists this ribosomal RNA (252 nucleotides) under uncultured bacterium. Its description in RNAcentral is "partial 16S ribosomal RNA". It matches the Rfam family "Bacterial small subunit ribosomal RNA", at positions 524 to 776 of the family's 1533-position model. The record is from RNAcentral.